CUGAUCAAGGAGUAAAUAGAGAUAGGAUGGAAGGUUUACAUGAAUUUGAAAGUAGGUCUGCAGAACAGGGUUGCUCCCUCUCUACAAUAAGCUAUAUUGGGUUUAUGCUCAUUUCUGUCAACACUGUCGUCAACCUCAUUGCUAACAUCAACGACAACAAUAAUAACAACAACAAUAACAACAACAACAACAAUAAUAACAACGAUAAUAAUAAUAACAACAACAACGGAGGACGAGGUUUCUCCGAAUCUGUUCUGAACCAGAUGGUUGAAGAGGAUCCGUUCUCCGACCAGGUUCUAGCUCAUCUACUCCACACGAACAUACAAAGACCAAGACCAAUCUUGCUAUAAAACAUCAUCAUUGUAGCAAGGUAUUCUUUGCCAGACAAAGAAGUUAGGAAGGAAGUGCUUCUACUGCUCUGCUAUCCUGGAUCAAAUCCGUCCUGGAGAUACGUCCUAGUUGUGCUCUAUCUCUUUCAGCUCAUACAGCUCAUAGACUGCUCCCUGGAAAUAAUAUCAUACAAGAUCUAAAAGAAACCCU
Molecule: RNA transcript, 540 nt
Organism: Eurytemora carolleeae
Lineage: Eukaryota; Metazoa; Arthropoda; Copepoda; Calanoida; Temoridae
Exons: 5
Source: RefSeq, a predicted model, not a curated record